This is a long non-coding RNA of Neoarius graeffei (lesser salmon catfish), 3586 nucleotides long. RefSeq lists it as uncharacterized. The record is from RefSeq and is a predicted model, not a curated record. Lineage: Eukaryota; Metazoa; Chordata; Actinopteri; Siluriformes; Ariidae. The transcript has 3 exons.
AAAGGCGGGGUACACCCUGGACCAUAGGCGGUUUUAAACGGGGGCCAGGGGGGGCCAGUGCCCCUGUAAAAUUGCUCCUGGCCCCUGUUGUGGCCCCUGUGCUGAAAGCUUUAUUAAUUUCGACGUGCGCUGGCUCGAAGAUCGGAACUGACAUGACGGAGUGUUCUACACGGACUCCUUAAAGCGCUACACGCACACUGUUACCUGCAGCAGAAAGACCAGCAGCAGUGCGAAUUGUAAACUUCGGACGUGAGAGAUAACAGCAGCUGCAGCCCUGCAAGAACUAGGCUAUUGCAAAGAGGCGAAGCAAAAAGCAACAUAGAGAGAGUAAGGAAGAUGAAGAUUAAGAAAGAGGAGAGAGAGCCAGAGGUGGAGAGAGAGCCAGAGGUGGAGAGAGAGCCAGAGGUGGUGGUUGGAGAGGUGGAAAGUGAGGCAUCUGAAAGGCAAUCUGAGAGUGAGGAUGAAGACAUUCAGGAUCAGAUUGAGGGACAGAAUGAGGGACAACCCAACGAGUCAUUGGGACAACCAGAUUCACCAUGCAUAUCAAGUACAGCACCAUCAGAUAUCAGCAAGUGCUUGGACGACACUCCAGUGCAGCCACAUCUGAAGAAAAGGUUCAUUGUAUGCAAAAAUAGAAAUCUUAUUUUACAAAAAAGAGAAACAUGGUUUUAAGAUUUAUUGAGCACAAUUUAUUUUAUGUUUAGGCUACUGAGACAGAAUGUUUAUCUCAUUGUAUUUAUGCUCAUUGUAUUUUGUUUUGGUUUUAACUAAACUAAACUAAACAUUUUGAAUGCUUAAAUAUUGCCAUGUUUUGUCCAUAUGUGCCCCCCUGAAAAAACACUGGCCCCACCUCGGCCCCCCUAGUAAUUUUGGUCUAGAACCGCCACUGCCCUGGACAAGUCGCCAGGUCAUCACAGGGCUGACACAUAGACACAUACAACCAUUCACACCUACGGUCAAUUUAGAGUCACCAGUUAACCUAACCUGCAUGUCUUUGGACUGUGGGGGAAACCGGAGCACCCGGAGGAAACCCGGAGUUUCUGGAACAGCAGACUCCUGAUAUUCUCCCCUGUUUUUGACACACCACUCUCGAAGGGAGCUGCGAGGUCAAAGUUGUUGUUUGUAUAAUGAAUGGUGCCAGAUAUGAAUGAAGACUUAUGGUAAUCCUCCGUCCAUAUAUCGGUUGUGAUGGCACAUCCAUACGUUUCGAUGAUGGGCUUUAUUUCUGCUGCCACUGACGCCUGCAGUGCUUGUGCUCGCCCCUCGACAUGUCUGGAUACAAUGGUUGGAUGAGGUAAAACAUCUUUAACAUCAAACUUGCCAUACUUAGCAGCAACAUUAGCAAAGUGUUGCAAUAUGUCAACAAAGCCUCUCCCGGCGACUAAAUCAUAUGGCCGUAUGUCUAGACAGCACACUUCCACACAUUUCUCUGUAGUUUCCUGUUUAAUGUGUGCAGGGAGAAAUUGUUUUUGAUUGAAAUGCAGCUUACUCUGACCUGGAAGGACAGAGCAGGUGUGACGCCUCAACCCAGAGGUGCCGGAUUUGUGUCCAUUGUAAAUUAGGAUUUUUGAGCAUUUGUCACAACGAACAUAGUCAAGUUCGUUGCCGUCUGCAUCGCACACAACUGAGAAAUUUUGCCAGAUAUCAGACUUUCCUUGUUUCGUUUUUGUACUGUACAAUCCUCGUUUCAGUUUAUUUUCUACAUCACUUGUUUGACUCAUGCUGUCGCUAGGCUAGUUUACGAUCCCGCAGUGUUUUACUAUGGCCGCCCAUUCCCGCCCGCAGCUAAGUGCAAACUGUCCGUUCCCGCGAGAUUUGCAUUGGGUCCCACGGGACCCAAUCCCAGUGCAGACCUCUACCACCAAUUAGCCUAACUGCAUGUCUUUGGACUGUGGGGGAAACCGGAGCACCCAGAGGAAACCCACGCAGACACGGGGAGAACAUGCAAACUCCACACAGAAAGGUCCCCAUCGGCCACUGUGCUCGAACCCAGAACCUUCUUGCCGUGAGGCGACCGUGCUAACCAUUAUACCACCGUGCCACCCUCAAUGAAAUACAAGUAAAUUUAGAAAUCAGUUUCCUUUUUUUUACUUGCAUUUUCCAUACCAUCCCAACUUUUUCUUUGCACCUGAUUGUGAUGUCAAAACAUACAUACACAUGCAUUUAAUGCCUAUUAUCAGUUUGGCUAUCACUGAGGUGAUUACUGCAGUCUGGGGAUGUGGGGGAUUACUUGCUGUAAGAAAGAAAAACUGCCAUUGUAUAGCCUUCCAAAGAAUAUAAACAUGGAUAUAAUGUUUUAUCUAUUAUAUUGGUAUGGAAAACUAGUCUCUGGUUAGGAGGUAGCACUAUCUGGGCUCUGGAUGCAUCACUAAUUUAUUUACCAAUCACGCUCUUUCCUUAGUCAUCAUGCCAAUAAAUGUAGUAUUUGCAUUCUUCUAGUUUGGUUUUAGAAUAACACUCUGCUCGAAACAUCCUGUAUAACUAAGGCUGUAAGUGUUGAGCAGAUGGCAUUAUUUUUCUUAUUGUUAUUUACAGUUUCCCAUAUUAUAUGGAGAAGUGUGGUAUCUCUUAUUUCAUGUCACCCCAUCAUAACAGAGGAUCUUCAAGAUACAGUAACAAAUGCAGAUUGUUUAUAAGGAAUUAAGAGGUUGGAAAUACACUACCGUUCAAAAGUUUGGGGUAACCCAGACAUUUUGUGUUUUCCAUGAAAAGUCACACUUUUAUUUACCACCAUAAGUUGUAAAAUGAAUAGAAAAUAUAGUCAAGACAUUUUUCUGGCCAUUUUGAGCAUUUAAUCGACCCCACAAAUGUGAUGCUCCAGAAACUCAAUCUGCUGAAAGGAAGAUCAGUUUAAUAGCUUCUCUAAAGAGCUAAACUGUUUUCAGCUGUGCUAACAUGAUUGUACAAGGGUUUUCUAAUCAUCCAUUAGCCUUCUGAGGCAAUGAGCAAAUACAUUGUACCAUUAGAACACUGGAGUGAUAGUUGCUGGAAAUGGGCCUCUAUACACCUAUGGAGAUAUUGCACCAAAAACCAGACAUUUGCAGCUAUAAUAGUCAUUUACCACAUUAGCAAUGUCUCAUCUCAUCUCAUUAUCUGUAGCCGCUUUAUCCUGUUCUACAGGGUCACAGGCAAGCUGGAGCCUAUCCCAGCUGACUACAGGCGAAAGGCGGGGUACACCCUGGACAAGUCGCCAGGUCAUCACAGGGCUGACACAUAGACACAGACAACCAUUCACACUCACAUUCACACCUACGGUCAAUUUAGAGUCACCAGUUAACCUAACCUGCAUGUCUUUGGAUUGUGGGGGAAACCGGAGCACCCGGAGGAAACCCACGCGGACACGGGGAGAACAUGCAAACUCCACACAGAAAGGCCCUCACCGGCCAUGGGGCUCGAACCCAGACCUUCUUGCUGUGAGGCAACAGUGCUAACCACUACACCACUGUGCCGCCCACAUUAGCAAUGUAUAGAGUGUAUUUCUGAUUAGUUUAAAGUGAUCUUCAUUGAAAAGAACAGUGCUUUUCUUUCAAAAAUAAGGAAAUUUCAAAGUGACCCCAAACUUUUGAACGGUAGUGUAUAUGCUUAG